GACGAACGCUGGCGGCGUGCUUAACACAUGCAAGUCGAACGAUGAAGAAAAGAAUUGAAGCUUCGGCAGACAUUCAUUUCGGAUUAGUGGCAGACGGGUGAGUAACGCGUGAGCAACCUACCUCUUACAAAGGGAUAGCCUCGGGAAACCGGGAUUAAUCCCAUAUAACAUUGCGACGAAGCAUUUCGCUGCCAUCAAAGCUACGGCGGUAAGAGAUGGGCUCGCGUCCCAUUAACCAGAUGGGGAGGUAACGGCUCACCAUAGUAACGAUGGGUAACCGGGGUGAGAGAGUGAACGGUCACACGGGAACUGAGACACGGUCCAGACUCCUACGGGAGGCAGCAGUGGGGAAUAUUGCACAAUGGAGGGAACUCUGAUGCAGCGACGCCGCGUGAGUGAUGAAGGAAUUCGUUUCGUAAAACUCUGUUCUAUGGGAAGAAAAGGACUGUACCAUAGGAGAAAGCACCGGCUAAAUACGUG
RNAcentral lists this ribosomal RNA (480 nucleotides) under uncultured bacterium. Its description in RNAcentral is "partial 16S ribosomal RNA". It matches the Rfam family "Bacterial small subunit ribosomal RNA", at positions 28 to 507 of the family's 1533-position model. The record is from RNAcentral.